Pogonomyrmex barbatus (red harvester ant) is the source of this 1313-nucleotide long non-coding RNA. The record is from RefSeq and is a predicted model, not a curated record. NCBI's taxonomy places the organism in Eukaryota, Metazoa, Arthropoda, Insecta, Hymenoptera, Formicidae.
GACUCGCACCACAGUAAUCGACGGUAAUGAGAUUAGAUAGACAUAAAAAUGAAUUUGCAAUAAUCCCGGAACUUGAUUGCUAAGCUUUAUCGCAAUAAAACGCACUAUUCAACGGAUUGAAAGUGACAGAAGAGGAUAUUGCAGUGACUUUUACAUUCUUCCCACAUGUCUUCAACAAGAGGAAAUUAUGAGAAGUGAACUCGCAGCUUUCAUUAAAACUGUCUCAGAAAGGGAAAUUAUAUCGUUUGAAGCAUAAAGUACAAUGACUCGAUUGUUCAGCGGAACGAAGAUACGAGAUAGAAGUAAUGCAUCGUUGUCACACACAUUGAGAGCACAAAUAGAGCAUGCUAGCGUGCAUUACGAAUGUCUUAAGAGCGGUCGCAAAAAGAGACUAAUGAGAGGGGAAGCCAGUACAAAUUACCGGGGCCCGACUGCCCGGAAGAGCCUAUUUGUCUUUCUCAGAAAGAUCAUUAUUGGUCUAUCUAUUUUUAGUAUGCACUGUUAAAUCGGCAAACCCUACGAAGAAUUUCGGAAAAAUCUUUUUGUGUUUCUUCAAAUAAGACUAAUCACCGACAACAGACGAUAAUAACAUUUAGAAAAUGGAAUAUUUCAUUGUAUCUGUUAUAUCAAGCUUAUUAGCUAACAUUUAUUCUUACUCGCACGUCAAUAUAAUAUUUAUUUUUACUCGCACGUCAAUACAAGUUUCGUGCCAAGGAAGCUGAAAACAUUUCAACUCGAGACCAUCUUGGUCUUGAAUAUGCAUCAAUAUUCAAUGUUUUCUCGGUUUCCACGAGCAAGUGCCAUAUUUUGCACACGUCGUUGCGGUUUCGAGUUGACUUCUACGCGUUUGUCAUAGAAAUGACGAAUGAAUGAUAUAAAGACGGUGUGAAAAAAAUCGCGAGAAAACAGGAAAGGCAGCCGAGUGUGACAAAGAAUGCUGUGUACUUGCAUGCGAAUAUAACAAACUUUUGUUACAUGCGCUAAAGGCAGUAAUAAUCGAGGGAAAUAUCGUGUUGCUUUCGUGUUUCGAUUCGUAAACUUGUUUAAUCCACCUCGCGAUAACUCUAUCGGAUAAGAUUAACGUUGUACCAUUCGCAAUAGAGACAAUUCCUUUUAUACACUUACAAAUAGUGACAAUUUCGAUAAGGAUAAUCUCGCAAGAUAGAAUUGGUAAAAUAAAAAAUAAAUGAGUUCUGAAUAAUUUUUAUGAGUUAUCAUGUUGCUCGAUAAGAGGAGUAUCAGCCUGAUUAAAGACUCGUUUGUUCCUUAUUUAUAUGGCUCUUUCGUUAAUAAAUAAAAAAUACAUAAAGCUC